This 433-nucleotide ribosomal RNA is filed under the name uncultured bacterium. Its description in RNAcentral is "partial 16S ribosomal RNA". It matches the Rfam family "Bacterial small subunit ribosomal RNA", at positions 29 to 507 of the family's 1533-position model. The record is from RNAcentral.
AACGAACGCUGGCGGCAUGCCUAACACAUGCAAGUCGGACGAGACCUUCGGGUCUAGUGGCGCACGGGUGCGUAACGCGUGGGAACCUGCCCUUAGGUUCGGAAUAACUCCCCGAAAGGGGUGCUAAUACCGGAUAAUGUCUUCGGACCAAAGAUUUAUCGCCUUUGGAUGGGCCCGCGUUGGAUUAGCUAGUUGGUAGGGUAAAAGCCUACCAAGGCGACGAUCCAUAGCUGGUCUGAGAGGAUGAUCAGCCACACUGGGACUGAGACACGGCCCAGACUCCUACGGGAGGCAGCAGUGGGGAAUAUUGGACAAUGGGCGAAAGCCUGAUCCAGCAAUGCCGCGUGAGUGAUGAAGGCCUUAGGGUUGUAAAGCUCCUUUACCCGGGAUGAUAAUGACAGUACCGGGAGAAUAAGCUCCGGCUAACUCCGUG